GGCAGAGUAACUCAGAGUGGUAGAGUAGUUGCUUACCAAGCACAAAGCCCUAGGUUCAAACUCCAGUACUGCCU
This 74-nucleotide transfer RNA is filed under the name Dipodomys ordii (Ord's kangaroo rat). It matches the Rfam family "tRNA". From Rfam's summary of the family: Transfer RNA (tRNA) molecules are approximately 80 nucleotides in length. The record is from Rfam by way of RNAcentral. Lineage: Eukaryota; Metazoa; Chordata; Mammalia; Rodentia; Heteromyidae.